This 117-nucleotide ribosomal RNA is filed under the name Propithecus coquereli (Coquerel's sifaka). The record is from RNAcentral. Lineage: Eukaryota; Metazoa; Chordata; Mammalia; Primates; Indriidae.
GUCUAUGGACGUAAUGCCCUGUGUGUGCCUGACCUUGUCCGAUCCCGGAAGUUAAGCAGGGUCAGGCCUGGUUAGUACUUGGGUGGGAGACUGUGUAGUUGGUUUGUGCUGGUGACG